Molecule: long non-coding RNA, 544 nt
Organism: Capsicum annuum
Lineage: Eukaryota; Viridiplantae; Streptophyta; Magnoliopsida; Solanales; Solanaceae
Exons: 2
Source: RefSeq, a predicted model, not a curated record
UGGGGACUUUAGGCGGUUGCCUUAUUUUUAAAGGCAUAGAGCCGCCCCUGCUUGAAGGGUACAACCUUUUCAUCGAGAUGAUCGCACAGAUCAAAAGGGAUGUCAUACAUGCUGUUUAUCAGUUGAAACCAGUCAUGGUGAAGCUGCAAGACCAGAAAAAGAGUGAUAAGGUGGAGAAACUCAACAAAAAAUGGGAGGGGUAGUAAUUGUGCUACCAACCCGUCUCCGUCAGCUGUUAGCUCACGGUCUAGCACAUAAGACAUUGAUCUGAAACCAACACUUUUGUGGAAAGCGGAAGCCUUGUGCGGUAGGUUCUUUCACCAAGACAUACUUUUGAAGUGCAAACAACCUAGAUGUUACAAGUGGAAAGAAGAUUCCCACAGGACCAAUAUAUUGUGAAUCAACCAGCUAUAUUACUCAGCUAAGAUUAAGAUAUAAAAUUCUAUAAGCCCCUGCAACAUCGUAUAGUUCGGUAUCAAUACAGUGUAAAGUAUGUCCCUUGAUGUACAUGUCACUGUAAAGAUGAAAGCUUCUUGGAACUACA